Molecule: long non-coding RNA, 955 nt
Organism: Xiphophorus couchianus (Monterrey platyfish)
Lineage: Eukaryota; Metazoa; Chordata; Actinopteri; Cyprinodontiformes; Poeciliidae
Exons: 3
Source: RefSeq, a predicted model, not a curated record
AUUUUUCAGCAUAUGGGUGCUAAAUACAAUCGCAUUUAACCUACGAUCCAAUUAUUGCAACCACUUACUUCAUGCUUUGAAAUCAAAUUUAACUUGUCUCAAUUUCAACUCCUGAAAGACCCACAGGAUUCACAGUAUCAGCACAAAAUGAGACCAGCAUCACUCUGCAGUGGGAUAAAGACAACAACAACAUCAACUUUGUUCUUGAGUUUAAUGGCAGAUACACGGCCAUCAGUGCACCAGGUGGAAAUGGACCAGUUACUUACACAAUCCCAUCUCUCACUGCUGGAACCAGAUACACAUUCACUCUCUUCUGUUGGCUUGAGAACACGAGAAGCACUGCAGUACAACUUACAGCUGUCACUGCUCCUCAAAAUCCAGGCAACUUUAGACCGUCAACGCAAGAUGAGACCAGCAUCACUCUGCAGUGGGAUAAAAUCAGCGACUUUGUCAGCUGCAUUCUACAGUUUAACGGCACAGAGACAAACAUUGGUGCAGCAAGUGGAAAUGAAUCAGUAACUCACACAGUCUCAUCUCUGACGGCUGGAACUAGAUACACAUUCACUCUCUUUUCUGUGUUUGACAAUAUCAGAAGCAGUGGAGUCAACAUCACAGCAUCUACUGGGCCAAGUAAGUAAAUGCAGCUCUGAAACUUAAUCCAGCUGUAUUUUCAUCAAUGAUGUUUGUUUUUUCCAGUUCAACACACUUUCAAAAUGUUGUUUCUAGCUGCACUGAUAUACUGUAUGUAACUUUGCUAAGACAAUAACUUCGCUUAUUAUGUUGACAAAGCUAAGACCAGUGUUGUCCCAGUUAAUACUAACAAGAACUAGUUCUAAAGUCAGUCAAAAUGUUUCUCACAACACACUUUAUUAAGUCCUGUUUUCCCUUUUAAUUGUAUUAUUAUUCCUAUCUUGUUCUUCUGAAAUAAAGUUUGGGUGAAUUUUUCAGUGGAAAA